AGCGAACGCUGGCGGCGUGCUUAACACAUGCAAGUCGAGUGCGCAGUCAUCUGUAGCAAUACAGGUGGCGGGCGCACGGCGCACGGGUGCGUAACACGUGGACAAUCUACCCUUUGAUGGGGAAUAACCCGCCGAAAGGCGGGCUAAUACCGCAUAACAUCCCAGUCGCUUCGGUGAUAGGGAUCAAAGCCCGCAAGGGCGUCAUUGGAGGAGUCCGCGGCCGAUUAGCUAGUUGGUGAGGUAAUGGCUCACCAAGGCUUGGAUCGGUAGCCGGUCUGAGAGGACGGAUCGGCCACACUGGAACUGAGACACGGUCCAGACUCCUACGGGAGGCAGCAGUGGGGAAUCUUGCGCAAUGGGCGAAAGCCUGACGCAGCGACGCCGCGUGGGGAUGAAGCUUCUCGGAGUGUAAACCCCUUUCGACCCGGACGAAUGACCGCAAGGGUUUGACGGUACGGGGAGAGGAAGCCCCGGCUAACUACGUGCCAGCAGCCGCGGUAAGACGUAGGGGCCAGCGUUGCUCGGAAUUACUGGGCGUAAAAGGGUUCGUAGGCGGUGCGGUAAGUCGAGAGUGAAAAUCUCCAGGCUCAACUUGGAGGCGCCUCCCGAAACUGCCGUGCUCGAGUGCUGGAGAGGCGAGUGGAAUUGCAGGUGUAGCGGUGAAAUGCGUAGAUAUCUGCAGGAACACCAGUGGCGAAGGCGGCUCGCUGGACAGCAACUGACGCUGAGGAACGAAAGCUA
This 741-nucleotide ribosomal RNA is filed under the name uncultured bacterium. Its description in RNAcentral is "bacterial SSU rRNA". It matches the Rfam family "Bacterial small subunit ribosomal RNA", at positions 28 to 762 of the family's 1533-position model. The record is from RNAcentral.